Molecule: long non-coding RNA, 390 nt
Organism: Humulus lupulus (European hop)
Lineage: Eukaryota; Viridiplantae; Streptophyta; Magnoliopsida; Rosales; Cannabaceae
Exons: 3
Source: RefSeq, a predicted model, not a curated record
CUCAUGUUACGAGCCUUCUAUUGGAGAAGCCACACCUUCUCAGCCAGUGCAGACGGUCUUAGGUAAGCGUACUAGACAGAGACCAGUAAGGUACGAGGACUAUACUCCAGCAGCCAAGAAACCAAAGUUCAAGGACCCAGUUACGAUCCUUCCUUUAAAGGUGUUGGAUCAAGAUAUGUUGACAACUUUUAACCGAUGGGUACUCGGUGAGAUUGAUAACAGCAGACCGAGGAAGUUGGAAUGUUGUGAUGGGACCCCUGUUUGGUUCUUGAAGUUGAAGGUGGCAAAAGAAUGGUUGGCAGAAACUCAUCUCGACGCUGCGAAUUAUCUUAUACGGAGACGUCUUUUUGAGUUGCCGAAGACGUACUCCGUGAAAGCCACCGUACUUGA